This 370-nucleotide ribosomal RNA is filed under the name uncultured organism. Its description in RNAcentral is "bacterial SSU rRNA". It matches the Rfam family "Bacterial small subunit ribosomal RNA", at positions 526 to 896 of the family's 1533-position model. The record is from RNAcentral.
CGAACUGUGCAAACGUUAUUCGGAAUCACUGGGCUUGAAGAGUGCGUAGGCGGUUUCGUAAGUAGGGUGUGAAAGCCCCCGGCUCAACCGGGGAAUUGCGCCCUAAACUGCGAGGCUGGAGUGAGGUAGGGGUGUGUGGAACUUCCAGUGGAGCGGUGAAAUGUGUUGAUAUUGGAAGGAACGCCGGUGGCGAAAGCGACACACUGGACCUUGUCUGACGCUGAGGCACGAAAGCCAGGGGAGCAAACGGGAUUAGAUACCCCGGUAGUCCUGGCCGUAAACUAUGAGUACUAGUGGGGAGGGUCGCAAGGCCUUCCUCACGGAGCGAAAGUUUUAAGUACUCCGCCUGGGGAGUAUGGUCGCAAGGCUG